Molecule: small RNA, 633 nt
Filed under: Pan troglodytes (chimpanzee)
Lineage: Eukaryota; Metazoa; Chordata; Mammalia; Primates; Hominidae
Description: processed transcript
Source: RNAcentral
GAGAACAUGAGUAGAUAAUUUCAGGGUGCAGCCCAAUCUGCCAGACUUAAAAAAACCAUCUUGUGUCUUUGGAGGUGCUGCUUAAUAUCAAACACGCGGUGCCAUGAAGGGACCCUUUGGGGGUUGAAUAGGAGUUAACCCCUGCGCUCUCUUUGCAACUGUCUGCCUUCUCAGAGUGGUGGGGGAAGGCUGUACGACACGGGUGGGGACAGGAGGUGGGGGCGGGGAGUAUUGAAUGGUGGUGGAAGGGUAGAGAGGCGCGGAGUGAACCCCACGCCCUGUCUAAAGUGUAUUUUCACAGCCGGCCCGCCUCUCCUCGGUUCAAGGUCACUGUUUCCUGGGCACGCACUGGGUUGCGGGACAGAGUAGCCAGGUUCUGCAGGUGCUCGGAGAAGAGCGCAGUGUUUUGCAAGUGCUGGAGUCUCCUGAGGACACGCGCGCCGCCGCCACCGCGGGUGUGGGAAAGCGCGGACGUGCUGGGCGUCUGUGCUUCGUCAAUGGCUUGUUCAUCAUCCAGAUGUGGCUACUGACAUAUCUACACUUCGCACCGGAGUGUCUGGAAUUGUGGCUAUCCUGAUUAUAGGAUUUUAACUUAACUGAAAUGCCUGCUUUGAAUAAAUGUGUUGGGUUUUU